This 253-nucleotide ribosomal RNA is filed under the name uncultured bacterium. RNAcentral's name for it is "partial 16S ribosomal RNA". It matches the Rfam family "Bacterial small subunit ribosomal RNA", at positions 524 to 776 of the family's 1533-position model. The record is from RNAcentral.
UACGUAGGGGGCUAGCGUUGUCCGGAAUCAUUGGGCGUAAAGAGCGUGUAGGCGGUUCGGUAAGUCGGCUGUGAAAGUCCAGGGCUCAACCCUGGGAUGCCGGUCGAUACUGCCGGACUAGAGUUCGGAAGAGGCGAGUGGAAUUCCCGGUGUAGCGGUGAAAUGCGCAGAUAUCAGGAAGAACACCCGUGGCUAAGGCGGCUCUCUAGUACGGUACUGACGCUGAGACGCGAAAGCGUGGGGAGCGAACAGG